This 484-nucleotide ribosomal RNA is filed under the name uncultured bacterium. RNAcentral describes it as "bacterial SSU rRNA". It matches the Rfam family "Bacterial small subunit ribosomal RNA", at positions 30 to 507 of the family's 1533-position model. The record is from RNAcentral.
AUUGAACGCUGGCGGCAUGCCUUACACAUGCAAGUCGAACGGCAGCACGGGAGCAAUCCUGGUGGCGAGUGGCGAACGGGUGAGUAAUAUAUCGGAACGUGCCCGGUCGUGGGGGAUAACGUAGCGAAAGCUACGCUAAUACCGCAUACGAUCUACGGAUGAAAGCGGGGGAUCGCAAGACCUCGCGCGAUUGGAGCGGCCGAUAUCAGAUUAGGUAGUUGGUGAGGUAAAGGCUCACCAAGCCGACGAUCUGUAGCUGGUCUGAGAGGACGACCAGCCACACUGGGACUGAGACACGGCCCAGACUCCUACGGGAGGCAGCAGUGGGGAAUUUUGGACAAUGGGCGCAAGCCUGAUCCAGCAAUGCCGCGUGCAGGAUGAAGGCCUUCGGGUUGUAAACUGCUUUUGUACGGAACGAAACGGUGAGCUCUAAUACAGUCUGCUAAUGACGGUACCGUAAGAAUAAGCACCGGCUAACUACGUG